AGUUCUUCGGAACUUGAGACCGGCGCACGGGUGCGUAACGCGUAUGCAAUCUACCUUUCACAGAGGGAUAGCCCAGAGAAAUUUGGAUUAAUACCUCAUAGUAUAACACAACCGCAUGGUUGAGUUAUUAAAGUCACAACGGUGAAAGAUGAGCAUGCGUCCCAUUAGCUAGUUGGUAAGGUAAUGGCUCACCAAGGCUUCGAUCGGUAGCCGGCCUGAGAGGGCGGACGGCCACACUGGGACUGAGACACGGCCCAGACUCCUACGGGAGGCAGCAGUGGGGAAUUUUUGUCAAUGGGGGAAACCCUGAACAAGCAACGCCGCGUGGAGGACGACGACCUUCGGGUUGUAAACUCCUGUCGGAGGGGACGAAAGCGGUCGAGGCUAAUAUCCUUGGUCGUUGACGGUACCCUAUGAGGAAGCCCCGGCUAACUCCGUGCCAGCAGCCGCGGUAAUACGGGGGGGGCAAGCGUUGUUCGGAAUUACUGGGCGUAAAGGGCGCGUAGGCGGGCGGGCAAGUCUCUCGUGAAAUCCCACGGCUCAACCGUGGAACUGCGGGAGAUACUGCCUGUCUUGAGUCCGGGAGAGGAGGGUGGAAUUCCCAGUGUAGCGGUGAAAUGCGUAGAUAUUGGGAGGAACACCGGUGGCGAAGGCGGCUCUC
RNAcentral lists this ribosomal RNA (661 nucleotides) under uncultured bacterium. Its description in RNAcentral is "bacterial SSU rRNA". It matches the Rfam family "Bacterial small subunit ribosomal RNA", at positions 74 to 729 of the family's 1533-position model. The record is from RNAcentral.